RNAcentral lists this ribosomal RNA (251 nucleotides) under uncultured prokaryote. Its description in RNAcentral is "partial 16S rRNA". It matches the Rfam family "Bacterial small subunit ribosomal RNA", at positions 525 to 775 of the family's 1533-position model. The record is from RNAcentral.
ACGUAGGGUGCAAGCGUUAUUCGGAUUUAUUGGGCGUAAAGCGCAUGCAGGCGGUCAGGUUAGUCUGAUGUGAAAGCCCUCGCCUUAAUCGAGGAAGUGCAUUGGAUACUGCCAGACUAGAGUGCAGGAGGGGUGAGCGGAAUUCCAGGUGUAGAGGUGAAAUUCGUAGAUAUCUGGAGGAACAACAGCGGCGAAGGCGGCUCACUGGACUGUAACUGACGCUCAGAUGCGAUAGCGUGGGGAGCAAACAG